CCUACGGGAGGCAGCAGUGAGGAAUAUUGGUCAAUGGGCGGGAGCCUGAACCAGCCAAGCCGCGUGAAGGAAGAAGGCGCCAAGCGUCGUAAACUUCUUUUGUCGGGGAACAAAGGGCGCCACGUGUGGCGUUGUGAGUGUACCCGAAGAAAAAGCAUCGGCUAACUCCGUGCCAGCAGCCGCGGUAAUACGGGGGAUGCGAGCGUUAUCCGGAUUUAUUGGGGUAAAGGGGUGCGUAGGCGGUCCGGAAAGUCAGCGGUAAAAGCCCGGGGCUCAACCCCGGCGAGCCGUUGAAACUGUCGGACUAGAGACGGCGAGAAGUACGUGGAAUUCGAGGUGUAGCGGUGAAAUGCAUAGAUAUCACGAAGAACCCCGAUGGCGAAGGCAGCAUACCGGCUCCACACUGACGCUGAGGCACGAAAGCGUGGGUAUCGAACAGGAUUAGAUACCCCUGUAGUC
This 459-nucleotide ribosomal RNA is filed under the name uncultured bacterium. RNAcentral's name for it is "partial 16S ribosomal RNA". It matches the Rfam family "Bacterial small subunit ribosomal RNA", at positions 338 to 795 of the family's 1533-position model. The record is from RNAcentral.